UUUCCGUAGGUGAACCUGCGGAAGGAUCAUUACUGAGUGAGGGCCCCUCGGGGUCCAACCUCACACCCGUGUUUAACGAACCUUGUUGCUUCGGCGGGCCCGCCUCACGGCCGCCGGGGGGCAUCUGCCCCCGGGCCCGCGCCCGCCGAAGCCACCUGUGAACGCUGUCUGAAGUAUGCAGUCUGAGACAAUUAUUAAAUUAAUUAAAACUUUCAACAACGGAUCUCUUGGUUCCG
Molecule: unclassified non-coding RNA, 236 nt
Filed under: plant metagenome
Description: partial contains small subunit ribosomal RNA, internal transcribed spacer 1, and 5.8S ribosomal RNA
Source: RNAcentral